CAGUCGCCGCGGGAAUACGUAGGUGGCAAGCGUUGUCCGGAAUUAUUGGGCGUAAAGGGCUCGCAGGCGUUUUCUUAAGUCUGAUGUGAAAGCCCCCGGCUCAACCGGGGAGGGUCAUUGGAAACUGGGAAACUUGAGUGCAGAAGAGGAGAGUGGAAUUCCACGUGUAGCGGUGAAAUGCGUAGAGAUGUGGAGGAACACCAGUGGCGAAGGCGACUCUCUGGUCUGUAACUGACGCUGAGGGGCGAAAGCGUGGGGAGCGAACAGGAUUAGAGACCCCAGUAGUCCCUGUCUCUUAUAC
This 301-nucleotide ribosomal RNA is filed under the name uncultured bacterium. RNAcentral describes it as "partial 16S ribosomal RNA". It matches the Rfam family "Bacterial small subunit ribosomal RNA", at positions 509 to 807 of the family's 1533-position model. The record is from RNAcentral.